Molecule: long non-coding RNA, 867 nt
Organism: Bactrocera dorsalis (oriental fruit fly)
Lineage: Eukaryota; Metazoa; Arthropoda; Insecta; Diptera; Tephritidae
Exons: 2
Source: RefSeq, a predicted model, not a curated record
GUGUCUCGAUUUCGCAUAUAAAUACCUUGCGGAAGCUUCCUACGCAUUCAGUGUGCAGCGGAACUUGAGAGAUCGCUUUCAGUAAAACGCAAAAAGUGAAAAUGUUUAAGCGCAGUUCCUGUCUUGUAACCAUUUUACUCUUGCUUAUACAGCUUAUUUCAUGUUUACCGAGAUCACCUUCUUCCGAUUCAGUGGAUUCCAUUUUACCUGGAGCAACAACGAUAACUCCAACAGUAGGUGAAAAUGCUGUGCCAAGCGGUCACAGUAGCUAUGAGGAGGUGGUCCGAAAGUUCGUAAUAAGAAGCGUAAACUAUUGGCUACAACGAACCAAUCAAAUAGCCAAAAAUGUGCUCGCUGAUUCUUCUAUGAUAGUAUUGAUAGUGAAGCCAUGCAGAAGGAAUUAAGUCUGCUUAGAAAGUAUGUGACAGACUCUAACGAAGCAUUAAGUAAGGUUCUGCCUGCCGACCAGUUUGGUUCGAAUACGUUUUUCUUGUUUAUGAAAGAUACAGAAAACGUCCUUAGUGGUUUCAUGAGACAUUUUCAUUUUGGUUACGAAUCACUUACACCGGAAGAGCAGGUAACAUGGGAUGCUUUAAAAAAACAUGGCCUUUUCGAAUCCCGUGAAGAGCAUGAUAAAGCUCUUAACGAAAUUGUACGAUACUUGAUAGACGAAUUCGAAAAAUAUGUGAAAACACUCUCAGCUGCCGAGAAAGAGAAGGAUAAAAAUAUGAGAGAGAUGAUGGCGGCAUGGAAUGCAUACAAAAAGAAUGAGAUUAGUAAACUUAUUUUUGGGAUGACAUUGUAUAAAAUAAAUAUUUUGAAUAAAUAUGAUGAGUGGCUUAGAACUGCUUUUGCAAACUGACAUUA